GANGAACGCUGGCGGCGUGCCUAAUACAUGCAAGUCGUAGCGGGCGUGAUCGCGAGAGCUUGCUCCCUGAUGUUAGCGGCGGACGGGUGAGUAACACGUGGGCAACCUGCCUGUAAGACUGGGAUAACUCCGGGAAACCGGGGCUAAUACCGGAUAACCCGUUCCACCUCAUGGUGGAGCGGUAAAAGAUGGCCUCUGGCUAUCACUUACAGAUGGGCCCGCGGCGCAUUAGCUAGUUGGUAAGGUAACGGCUUACCAAGGCGACGAUGCGUAGCCGACCUGAGAGGGUGAUCGGCCACACUGGGACUGAGACACGGCCCAGACUCCUACGGGAGGCAGCAGUAGGGAAUCUUCCGCAAUGGACGAAAGUCUGACGGAGCAACGCCGCGUGAGUGAUGAAGGUUUUCGGAUCGUAAAGCUCUGUUGUUAGGGAAGAACAAGUGCCGUUUGAAUAAGGCGGCACCUUGACGGUACCUAACCAGAAAGCCACGGCUAACUACGUGCCAGCAGCCGCGGUAAUACGUAGGUGGCAAGCGUUGUCCGGAAUUAUUGGGCGUAAAGCGCGCGCAGGCGGUCUCUUAAGUCUGAUGUGAAAGCCCACGGCUCAACCGUGGAGGGUCAUUGGAAACUGGGAGACUUGAGUACAGAAGAGGAGAGUGGAAUUCCACGUGUAGCGGUGAAAUGCGUAGAUAUGUGGAGGAACACCAGUGGCGAAGGCGACUCUCUGGUCUGUAACUGACGCUGAGGCGCGAAAGCGUGGGGAGCAAACAGGAUUAGAUACCCUGGUAGUCCACGCCGUAAACGAUGAGUGCUAGGUGUUAGGGGUUUCGAUGCCCUUAGUGCCGAAGUUAACACAUUAAGCACUCCGCCUGGGGAGUACGACCGCAAGGUUGAAACUCAAAGAAUUGACGGGGGCCCCG
Molecule: ribosomal RNA, 920 nt
Filed under: Alkalihalophilus pseudofirmus
Lineage: Bacteria; Bacillati; Bacillota; Bacilli; Caryophanales; Bacillaceae
Description: bacterial SSU rRNA
Rfam family: Bacterial small subunit ribosomal RNA
Source: RNAcentral